AAUGGCUGCAAUGGAGCUGGCUCAGGUCAUUGAUAAGAAUGUUAAAUAGCAGAAGGCCAAGAACCAAUCAUUGUGGGAAUCCCCUAGAAAGAAAUCUACUCAAGCAUGGUUCCCCAUUUACAAUAAUAGUUUGUAAUCUAUUUAAUGUAUGCCGUGUUUAUUUUGUAUCUUUGUAGGAACGUUACACUUCUUAAACACUAAGGGGGUAGGAAUGCCGCCCCCGGAUUUAGAGCGGCUGAAGUGGUUCCCACACCCCCACACUUCCGGUCAGGAGACACACUGAUUAAGUGCCGAUUAGGAGUGUAUCUCUGGAGUACGCAGUGCAUAAAGCACCAAUCAGGAGAGGGGGCGAGACGUUGGCUUGAGUUUGUACAUGCGUAUAAUAGAAUGAUUUAUGUAACCAACUAUAAUAAAUAGACGUGGACAGCCCAGUUGGGGCGGGUCCACGGGAACAGACUGACGGACUUGGCUUCAUUCAUUGCUACAUCUGGUGACCCCGACGUGAUUCCCCCUGCUCACCGUCUGGAAUAGCCUCCGAUGCAUCGACCCUCGCUGAAUAGCCCCGUUUCGUCCGUUGUGGGUCCCUGCCAAGAAUGUGCGACCGUGGCACAAUGACGUGGCAUCAAAGCCUCAAGAACCCGAUACCCAACUUUAAUCUGAAUCUAACCGAGACCUUUCCAGUGUGCCGAGCCACAAAGACGGCACCAAAGGUUACCUGGGGGCAGGUGAAACGACUGGCGCAGCAGGCUCAGCAAACGCUGGAGAAUAACAAGGCCAAGCCUACCCCCGAGAAUUUUACUGUUGCUAUCUUUGCUUGUUUGAUUGCUAAUUCUUUUACCAUAUUGUUGUGUUGUUUUUGUGUGUUACAGGCUAGGGCCGAACCCGAAUUGCAUAGCCGCAUGCGUUAUAAUAUAUGGGCUCGACUUGCGAUUCUUGCCAAUUAAUCCUCCUUUUGUUUACAGCAGGCCCCUGAGAUGCAUGGCCUGUUGGGCACCUGCCUGGUCCCAGUAUGUAAGGCACCAGGCGAUGCUGCACAUGCAACGGGGAUGUUUAAUUUUAUAAAUGCCACCGAGAUUUAAUAUUCUUUUAUGAGCCUAUGGGGCCAAGCCACUUAUGUGAAACCUGCAAGUGCCUUGUUUCUCUUUACCCCACGGGUAGCCAAUCACGCCAAUUUGACCUGUGCACGGAUGGUUAAUUGCACACAUCACAGGCCCCCAAAAGGAUGUUUGCGGGUGGGUACCCCAAAAUGGAAUUGUACGCGCUUUUAAAAUGUGUCCAGCAAUUACGGGCACAUCAUGUUACCAGAGGGUUGGUUUUUUACAUGUGGUCAGAGGACCUUUAAUUAUAUUCCGGCCAAUAUUUCAGAAGCUCAAUGUUGCCUAAGCAGACUCACACUGAUACUCCCCACGAGGUCAAUGUUGACUGAUUCCCAAAUUAAUGAGACCCGCACCCGUUGCCGGCGAAGCUUAACCCCCAUGAGAUCAGGAUGUAAUGCCAAUGUCAGCCUUUUUAGUUGGGCUGAGUACAUCUUUUUGGCUGCCAUCCAUGGGAUGGGUUUGAAUUGUUUUGUAAUAUGCUUUGAUUGUUAUCGCCUGCUUGAUUGGUUUUUGUUGCUUAGCUCAGUGUAUUCCUAACAUAAUUGGGCUGUGUUUUACACCCUGUCGGCGCAAACCCCUGCCUAUAUUCCAAGCCGUCAUGUAUGCCCAUAGAAUCAUGAAACAUGCGGAUCAGGCAUGGGUCGACAAAACAGAAAAGGAGGGGAUGUAGGAACGUUACACUUCUUAAACACUAAGGGGGUAGGAAUGCCGCCCCCGGAUUUAGAGCGGCUGAAGUGGUUCCCACACCCCCACACUUCCGGUCAGGAGACACACUGAUUAAGUGCCGAUUAGGAGUGUAUCUCUGGAGUACGCAGUGCAUAAAGCACCAAUCAGGAGAGGGGGCGAGACGUUGGCUUGAGUUUGUACAUGCGUAUAAUAGAAUGAUUUAUGUAACCAACUAUAAUAAAUAGACGUGGACAGCCCAGUUGGGGCGGGUCCAC
Long non-coding RNA from Mauremys mutica (yellowpond turtle), 2038 nucleotides. RefSeq lists it as uncharacterized. The transcript has 3 exons. Lineage: Eukaryota; Metazoa; Chordata; Testudines; Geoemydidae. The record is from RefSeq and is a predicted model, not a curated record.